CAAUGGAUAGGCUUCAGAGUGAAUUGGAGUAAGCCUAAACCACUUAAGACGUAGCUCCACUGUAAACAAGCUAAUGGCUCUUUGUAUAGUCAACUGGAUUCAGUUCAUGAGGUUGAGUCAAAGAUAUUUCAGAUAGACAUAAAAAAGAUUCAUGAAAAUGCUCUUCAAACCACAGAUGGUUAACCAAGUAAGUUUUUAAAGGAUACCAUGCUGAAAAGGGGAAAACUUGAGAGAGGAUGAAUUCACCAUAUCCAAUAUUGAAGUUCAACAGCCAAGCUGCUUCAUGGCCUUUAUUUUAUGCUCCAUAAGGAGGAAGCAGGAAGGAUUGUCAAAAAGAAGAUAUGGUAGGAGUGUUGACACAAGUAUAGAAAUGGAGAGAGAGAGAGAGAGAGAUGCAGAAGGAGGAAAGUACAUAGUUUGUUCGAAUGUACAAGUGCAAAGAGAGAAAGAGAGUAGAGAUCAAGAGUUGAAUACAUAGCAUUACAGUAUAUAAGGAACUACAUCUCGAGACAGUUGGACCAACCAGACAUUACUGAGUCUCUCACUCUCACUGUGUCCGAGAGAAGCUGAGCCUCAGAAUCUACAAGAUGAGGAACCUACUGAUAUUCACCAUCCUCUCCUUCAUGACUGGUUGUGAGCUGCCUUGAAGUGGAAGGAUACUCAGGAGGAACUGCCAUCUUCAACUGUAAAUACCCAGACGCAUAUAGAAGCAACCAGAAAUGUUUCUGGAGGAAGUCCAGCCAGAGUUGUGAAGAGAAAAUUAGCAGUGAGACAAAGAACCCCUGGGAGAACAAGGACAUAUUCUCUCUGAAAGACACUGACAGUAAACUCUUCACGCUGGUCAUUGAAAAACUGGAUUAUAGAGAUGAAGGAUGCUACUACUAUGAUGCGGACACACCAGACACGUCGUCAACUUGCUGUAGGACUAAGGUGGAGCUGGAAGUAAAGGAAGAUAACUGCUGUAGGAGAUCAUUCACAGAGACUGCUUAUCUGGGAGGAAUCGCUACCAUCAGCUGCAAGUAUCCAAAUGACCAUAAGGACAGAAUCAAGUAUUUCUGCAAAAAAGAUGGUCACUUCAUCUGUAAAUGCAAUAUGGAUUUACAAUCUAGAAAAGAAUUUAACGAACAAGGUCCAUUUUUUUGUGUCUGACAAGAGAAGGGAAGAGAGAGAGUCUUCACAAUGACCAUCACCAAUCUGACUGGGGAGGAUACAGGGAUAUUCUGUUGUGGCGGGAAAACUACUGCCUACAUUGACCUGAUCACUGAAGUACAACUUAAAGGUAUUAAUGCGCCACCCAAGACCACCGCAGUGACCACCACCGGAGUGACCACCACCACAGUGACCACCACACUGAACACCAUGUCUCCUGCAUCUUCAUCCAUGUGACCAUCAACACUAAAACAAUGUACCUUUGAUAAGUACAUUUGGUUCUAGGGCAGGUAGCUUAGCAGUUAAGAGCAUUGCUUUGGUUGCUGGUUCAAAUCCCCAAGCCAACCACAUGAAAAAUCUGCUGAUGUGCCCUUGCCACUUAACCCUAAUUGCUCCUGUAAAUUGCUCUGGAUUAGAGCGUGCCAAAUGACUAACCCUAACCCGUACCCUAACCUUAACCCUAACCUCAACCCAAAAACCUAACCUUAAGCCUAAACCUAACCCAAGCUACUAACCCUAACCCUAAAACUAACCCUAGCUCCUAACCCUAACUCUUCACAUAAUUCUAACCCUGUCACUAAUUCUAAUCUUAAACCACCUAGAAUUAGCAUUUGACCUCGUGGGGACUAAGAAAAUGACCACAGGAGCUGCCUCCUCAACACACAGGGGUGGCCAUGGUGCAAUAAAACUGCACCCCCUACAGCUAGACUCAGGUCCGGUGACCACAACCAAUUUACCUACAAACCCAUCUGACUCACUUCACUACGCCAGUGUCAACUUCCACAAGAACCCCAGGAGGCACAACAAAGCCACCGCUGCCAUCGCUAAAGAGGGCACUUCUUCCACUGAAUACGCCACUGUGAACUUUGGUCGAAGCCUGCCUACUCACCCUGACCAAUGAAUGACAUGAUAAAAAUUGACCUCUAGCCUACUUCUACUGCUUCUCAAUCCUAAGUGAAUACAAUACAAUAUAAUCAAAUACAAUACAAUAAAAUGCAAUACAAUGGAAUACAAUAAACUAAAAUACAAUAAAAAAUAAUACAAUAUAAUACACUACAAUACACUACAAUAUAACACAAUACAGUAUAAUACAAGAAAAUACAAUAUAAUUUAAUACAAUAAAAUAUAAUACAAUACCAUUUUUGGGUAUUUGGUAUUUUAUUAGGAUCCCCAUUAGCUGUUGCAAAAGCAGCAGCCACUCUUCCUGGUAUCCACACAAAACAUCAAACAUGACAUAAUACAGAACAUUAAUAGACAAGAACAGCUCAAGGACAGAACUAUAUAAAAAAAAAUAAAGGCACACAUAGCCUACAUAUCAAUGCAUAAACACAAACUAUCUAAGUCAAAUAGGGGAGAGGUGUCAUGAGGUGUUGCUUUAUAUGUUUUUUAAAACCAGCGUUGCUGUUUAUUUGAGCAAUAUGAGAUGAAACGGAGUUCCAUGCAAUAAUGGCCCAAAUAACAUUGUACUCCUUAUUGAAUUUGUUCUGGAUUUGGGGACUGUGUAAAGACUCCUGUUGGCAUGUCUGGUGUGGUAUGUGUGUAUGUGUUAGAGCUGUGUGUAAGUAUACUAUGCAAACAAUUUGGGAUUUUCAACACAUGUUUCUUAUAAAAAGAAGAAGUGAUGCAGUCAGUCUCUCAUCAACUCUUAGCAAAGAGAGACUGGCAUGCAUAGUAUUUAUAUCAGCCCUCUGAUUACAAUGAAGAGCAAGACGUGCCUCUCUGUUCUGGGCCAGCUGCAGCUUAACUCGGUAUUUCCUUACAGCACUGGACCACACGACUGGACAAUAAUCAAGAUUAGACAAAACUAGAGACUGCAGAACUUUCUUUUAGGAGUGUUGUGUCAAAAAAGCAGAGCAUUUCUUUAUUACAGACAGACCUCUCCCCAUCUUUAGCUGUGAUUGUGAUGCAUACAUUGUUGAAUCAUCAGCAUACAUGGACACACAUGCUUUGUUUAAUGCCAGUGGCAGGUCAAUGGUAAAUAGAUAAACGAGUAGAGGGCCUAGAGAGCUGCCCUGUGGUACACCACAGUUUACAUGUUUGACAUUAGAGAAGCUUCCAUUAAAGAACCCUUUGAGUUAUAUUAGAUAGAUAGCUCUGAAUUAUAUUCAGCAUUAUAUUUGGUUAAAUACAAUUUUUUCCAACUAUUUGCUAAGAGCUGGCAGCAAGCGUAUAGAUCUGCUGUUAGAACCAGUAAAGGCCGCUUUGCUACUCUUGGGUAGCGGAAUUACUUUGGCUUCCCUCCAGGCCUGAGGACAAAGACUAUCCUCUAGGCUAAGAUGAUUGAUAUGUCAGAUAGGAGUGGCUAAUGAGUCAGCUACCAUCUUCAGUAGCUUUCCAUCUAAGUUAUCAAUGCCAGGAGAUUUGUCAUUAUUGAUCGAUAACAAUAAUUUUUCCAUCGUUCCGACACAAACUUUACAAAAUUAAAACUUGAAAUGCUUUUCUUUCAUUAUUAGUUUUUUUUAUGCAUGAAUACAAUGGCUCACUGUUCGUUGUUGGCAUUUCCUGUCAAAGUUUACCCACAUUGCCAAUGAAGUAAUCAUUAAAAUAAUACAAUAUAAUACAAUGAAAUAAAAUACAACAUAAUCAUUGCACUUCCCAGUCUUGUUAAUGAAUAACUUAAAUUUGUCUUCUGCCUCUCCAGUCUAAUGUCUUGAAAUGUAAUAUUUAAAUAUUUGAAAUAUACACACUUUGUGCUGCACUGAA
This is a long non-coding RNA of Oncorhynchus masou masou (cherry salmon), 3852 nucleotides long. RefSeq lists it as uncharacterized. The record is from RefSeq and is a predicted model, not a curated record. Lineage: Eukaryota; Metazoa; Chordata; Actinopteri; Salmoniformes; Salmonidae. The transcript has 5 exons.